Molecule: ribosomal RNA, 261 nt
Filed under: uncultured bacterium
Lineage: Bacteria
Description: partial 16S ribosomal RNA
Rfam family: Bacterial small subunit ribosomal RNA
Source: RNAcentral
AGUGGCGGGACGGGUGAGUAACGCGUGGAUAACCUGCCUCAUACAGGGGGAUAACAGUUGGAAACGGCUGUUAAUACCGCAUAAGCGCACGAAACCGCAUGGUUUUGUGUGAAAAACUCCGGUGGUAUGAGAUGGGUCCGCGUCUGAUUAGCUAGUUGGCAGGGUAACGGCCUACCAAGGCGACGAUCAGUAGCCGACCUGAGAGGGUGUACGGCCACAUUGGGACUGAGACACGGCCCAAACUCCUACGGAAGGCAGCAG